Terfezia boudieri ATCC MYA-4762 is the source of this 104-nucleotide non-coding RNA. The record is from the annotation of a GenBank genome assembly. NCBI's taxonomy places the organism in Eukaryota, Fungi, Ascomycota, Pezizomycetes, Pezizales, Pezizaceae.
GCUUCCUUGGCUCAGUUGGUAGAGCGUUGGUCUCAUAAUUCCUUUAUGACACAUCCUCAGGUUGUGAUAUCCAAAGGUCGUGAGUUCGAGCCUCACAGGGAGCA